This 792-nucleotide ribosomal RNA is filed under the name uncultured Bacteroidota bacterium. RNAcentral's name for it is "bacterial SSU rRNA". It matches the Rfam family "Bacterial small subunit ribosomal RNA", at positions 65 to 854 of the family's 1533-position model. The record is from RNAcentral. Lineage: Bacteria; Pseudomonadati; Bacteroidota.
AACGGCAUUGAGUGCUUGCACUCUUUGGACGUCGACCGGCGCACGGGUGAGUAACGCGUAUCCAACCUUCCCAUUACUGUGGGAUAACCUGCCGAAAGGCAGACUAAUACCGCAUAGUCUUCGAUGACGGCAUCAGAUUUGAAGUAAAGAUUUAUCGGUAAUGGAUGGGGAUGCGUCUGAUUAGCUUGUUGGCGGGGUAACGGCCCACCAAGGCAACGAUCAGUAGGGGUUCUGAGAGGAAGGUCCCCCACAUUGGAACUGAGACACGGUCCAAACUCCUACGGGAGGCAGCAGUGAGGAAUAUUGGUCAAUGGACGGAAGUCUGAACCAGCCAAGUAGCGUGCAGGAUGACGGCCCUAUGGGUUGUAAACUGCUUUUGUAUGGGGAUAAAGUUAGGGACGUGUCCCUAUUUGCAGGUACCAUACGAAUAAGGACCGGCUAAUUCCGUGCCAGCAGCCGCGGUAAUACGGAAGGUCCAGGCGUUAUCCGGAUUUAUUGGGUUUAAAGGGAGCGUAGGCUGGAGAUUAAGUGUGUUGUGAAAUGUAGACGCUCAACGUCUGAAUUGCAGCGCAUACUGGUUUCCUUGAGUACGCACAACGUUGGCGGAAUUCGUCGUGUAGCGGUGAAAUGCUUAGAUAUGACGAAGAACUCCGAUUGCGAAGGCAGCUGACGGGAGCGCAACUGACGCUUAAGCUCGAAGGUGCGGGUAUCAAACAGGAUUAGAUACCCUGGUAGUCCGCACAGUAAACGAUGGAUGCCCGCUGUUGGUACCUGGUAUCAGCGGCUAAGCGA